Molecule: long non-coding RNA, 262 nt
Organism: Oncorhynchus kisutch (coho salmon)
Lineage: Eukaryota; Metazoa; Chordata; Actinopteri; Salmoniformes; Salmonidae
Exons: 3
Source: RefSeq, a predicted model, not a curated record
CAUAUCUCCAUCAUGCAUUUAGAAUCUCAUGAUACUACAGCAGCGUUUCCCUGGUUUCCUCUAUGUCAUGUCUCCACCAUGCAUUUAUAACCUCAUGAUACUGCAGCAGCGUUUCCCUGGUUUCCUGUGGUGGGGGUGGGGGCUGUCCUGACUGCUGGAGCUCUUCUAGUCAACAUCUACUGCACUCUGAAGAGGAGAUCAACAGGAGGAAGUGAUGCCACAUCAGACACACAGAGUGUCCAUCCUAAUCCUAAACGUAAGA